RNAcentral lists this ribosomal RNA (382 nucleotides) under uncultured eukaryote. RNAcentral's name for it is "partial 18S ribosomal RNA". It matches the Rfam family "Eukaryotic small subunit ribosomal RNA", at positions 592 to 976 of the family's 1831-position model. The record is from RNAcentral.
UGUAAGCGUAUACCAAAGUUGUUGCAGUUAAAACGCUCGUAGUCGGAAUUUGGCAGUUCCGGAUGUGUGCACGUCGUGUGCGCACUUCGCGGGGAUUGCUUUUGUGGUCUUGCGUAGGAUGAGGCACUUUUAUUAGUGAACGUCCUCACGCAACCACUUUUUACUGUGAGAAAAUCAGAGUGCUCAAAGCAGGCAUUUGCCGUGAAUGUAUUAGCAUGGAAUAAUAGAAUAGGACUUGGUUCUAUUUUUUUGGUUUGUUGGGACUGAGUAAUGAUUAAGAGGGACAGUUGGGGGCAUUUGUAUUUCGGUGCUAGAGGUGAAAUUCUUAGAUUACCGAAAGACAAACUGCUGCGAAAGCGUCUGCCAAGGAUGUUUUCAUUGA